UUUUAAUGCUUGGAGAAGAAAUAGUAUAGCGAGACAUUAGAAGAGAGGUGAAAGCUCCUAGUUAAGUUUCGAGGUGAAAAUAUGAAAGAGGAACGAGAACAUUAAUAUAACUCCAGAUCAUACAAUCACUCUGCAAAUAAUUUCUUUGGUUGGUAACAAAAUACCAAAAACAUUUCCAGUUCAGGAAAGAAAAACCAUAAUCAGACUACACUAUAAAGAAUUAAUUCAUUAGUAUCAAUCCCGGAACCAAGUGGCUUGCGGAGAAACCAACCCCCCGCCGCCGACAAAUCUCCGCCAGCGCCACCGCCGGAGAUGCCACAAAAUUGGUGGCCAAACAGGUGGAGAUGGUGGUCGUCGUGGUGGUGGUCUUCUUCAUCGUGCCUGCUUGGAGGAUGAUAGUACAUCCUCGAUGUUUGAGGGCAGUGGGAGUUGAAUCUGGCUGCCAUUCAUUCCAGCGUCUAAAAGCUCUAUGUAUUUCCCCAUCUCUCAAUUUCUUCCCAAAAUUCUCUGGGAGAAAAAUGAAAGAGAAAAGAAAAUCUGCUAAAAAUUAUCCCAAACGUCAGAGCCCAUUAAAAAUGGAGGAGGA
This 586-nucleotide long non-coding RNA is filed under the name Nicotiana tabacum (common tobacco). RNAcentral's name for it is "long non-coding RNA (NTAB_LNC016929)". The record is from RNAcentral. Lineage: Eukaryota; Viridiplantae; Streptophyta; Magnoliopsida; Solanales; Solanaceae.